Long non-coding RNA from Phycodurus eques (leafy seadragon), 408 nucleotides. RefSeq lists it as uncharacterized. The record is from RefSeq and is a predicted model, not a curated record. The transcript has 4 exons. Lineage: Eukaryota; Metazoa; Chordata; Actinopteri; Syngnathiformes; Syngnathidae.
GCUGGGGCAAGUCGAAUCCACCACUUCCUCAAUUGUCUCCUCUGCAGUCACGUGCCGGUGGCUGUCUGAUCUCGUGUCUCCAGUGAGACUGUACAUGACCACAAAGUCAUUUAUCGGAAAGACGAGAAAGCCAGAAAAUGUCGAGUACUGCCAUCCCCCGACCAGGUUGCCCUUCUCCAAUUUCAGGUACACUUGGAGGAGUGUUAAGAGAAGAACACUAUAGACGGCGAAAAUCCUCGGCAGGCUCACGUUCAAAGCACGCGGGCCCUCUUGAAGUCGUGGAUGAACUGACAGAUGAAGCCAAAGAGCUCCUGAGAGUCCUGGUCGGCCAUCUCUCCAAACUUCACCUUGCAGAAAGAGAAAACACACACGGUAACUUGCUUGCAAGGACACACGCACAUACUUGGA